Caenorhabditis japonica is the source of this 163-nucleotide non-coding RNA. NCBI's taxonomy places the organism in Eukaryota, Metazoa, Nematoda, Chromadorea, Rhabditida, Rhabditidae. The record is from Rfam.
AAACUUACCUGGCUGGGGGAAUCUCGCGAUCAUCAAGGCGGGAUCCCCAUGGUGAGGCCUGUCCAUUGCACUUUAGGACGGGCUGACUUGUGUGGCAGUCUCGAGUUGAGGCUCGCCAACAGCUCAAUUUUUGCGUAACGGGGCUGCGUACGCGCGGCCCUGA